RNAcentral lists this ribosomal RNA (442 nucleotides) under uncultured bacterium. RNAcentral's name for it is "bacterial SSU rRNA". It matches the Rfam family "Bacterial small subunit ribosomal RNA", at positions 504 to 940 of the family's 1533-position model. The record is from RNAcentral.
CGUGCCAGCAGCCGCGGUAAUACGUAUGGUGCGAGCGUUAAUCGGAAUUACUGGGCGUAAAGCGUGCGCAGGCGGUUAUGUAAGACAGAGGUGAAAUCCCCGGGCUCAACCUGUGAACUGCCUUUGUGACUGCAUAGCUGGAGUGCGGCAGAGGGGGAUGGAAUAUCCGCGUGUAGCAGUGAAAUGCGUAGAUAAUGCUGAGGAACACCGAUGGCGAAGUGCGCUCUGCUGGGCCAUAACUGACGCUCAUGGACGAAAGCCAGUGGAGCGAAAGGGAUUAGAUACCCCUGUAGUCCUGGCCGUAAACGAUGAACACUAAUGUGUCGGGGGAAUCGACCCCCUCGGUGUCGUAGCCAACGCGUUAAGUGUUCCGCCUGCGGAGUACGCACGCAAGUGUGAAACUCAAAUGAAUUGACGGUGGCCCGCACAAGCGGUGGAGCAU